GUUCAGGAUGUCCUGAAGAUAGAGAUCCUUGUCUGGCAGUGUACCUGCAGUCUUCCUCUGCUUCCUAGGAACCCAUUUAUUAUCGAUAUUUACAGUUACUCAUCAAAUUUGGACAUAUUUCUGUGGCCUAUGAAUGCUUUGUACUGCUGAUUUGCUAAAGAGAUCCUGAAUGCAAGGUGACACGUCGAAGUUGAACAAAAUCAUCAGAGGAUACUGGUAACCRUUCUUCUUUCAUGUGAGUGUGGUCCACAAGCAGAGUCGUCCAGUGCUUCAUGGCCUUUCUCUGAAGUAAAGAGAGGAGUUUGGCAUGGAAAGCACUCUAGAUGACUUAGGAGGGUAUGGAGUCUCAAUCACGAGAGCUUUUUAAGGACAAUUUCAUGAACCAUCUGCCACGAAUGAAGUAAACCUGUUUGUGUCUUUAGGGAAGGAAGGAGGGAAAAAAAGGCAAUUUGCCUCUGUAGGAAAGGACAGUUAGAGUAGGGAAAGAUUUUUCUGUCUUUGGGUGGUCAAAURCUGGAAAAACCUCCCAAAGAAGUUGAGAAUCUCUAUUCUUAUAUAUCUUUGGGAUACUCAGAACUCAACCGGGCAUGGCCCAAAGCAAUCCUCUUGUARUGGAUUGAACCAGGGACCUCCAGAGAUAGUUGCCAACCUAUAGACUCCAAUCCUAUGACUUCCAUGGAUUAAGGACAUKUUAAUUGGUGAUUUCAUUGGAGAUAUGAUUAGGAGGUAACCUCUAGGGGACAAUAAAUGAGUCACUGCUCAUGGUGCACACUAUUCUCUGAGCCAUGUUGUAAAACUUGAAUAGUUGUAUGAGAUACGCAUGCUGUGCUCCCUUUGUGGAGAGGAGACCAAAAUAAUCACA
Long non-coding RNA from Nothoprocta perdicaria, 862 nucleotides. RefSeq lists it as uncharacterized. The record is from RefSeq and is a predicted model, not a curated record. NCBI's taxonomy places the organism in Eukaryota, Metazoa, Chordata, Aves, Tinamiformes, Tinamidae. The transcript has 2 exons.